CGCGCGCAGAGCCAAAGAGCGCGAGAGGACACGGUGAGAGCAGCACGAGUAAGAGCACCCGGUCCCUGCCGUCACGAAGUAGAACCGUUAAGAACUGGGAGUCUCUACUCUCCGUCGUCCACUUUCAGGGGGAGGGACAAACAUGCAAAGAGAGGAGGUGAGGAAAGCAACUGAGGAAAUUGAGAACGGAGAAGAGGAUUCCUCACUUCCUAAAAUGUAUCUCAAGGAGAGAAGACUGCUGGAGUUGCCAUGAGCGAGGAUGUUUGGAAAGUUUUUUUUUUUUUUUUUAGCAGUGUAACAGGGAUGUGACGCAGCUGAAUAUAUAAACUGGAGCAGCCCUGACAAAUGUGUGGAGCCUUUGUAAUAUAUACCACUGAAUCUUAAUGCAUGUCACUAUCCAUUUGUUUAGACCUGUUGUUUGCUACUCUUCUUUGAUACCUAAUGGCACAUACGCUACUGUUCAAAAGUUUGGGAUCACUUAGAAAUGUUCCCAUUUUUGAAAGAAAGCAAUGAUGUUCAGUGAAGAUAACAUUAAAAUAAUCAGAAAUCCA
Acanthochromis polyacanthus (spiny chromis) is the source of this 551-nucleotide long non-coding RNA. RefSeq lists it as uncharacterized. The record is from RefSeq and is a predicted model, not a curated record. NCBI's taxonomy places the organism in Eukaryota, Metazoa, Chordata, Actinopteri, Pomacentridae. The transcript has 3 exons.